AGUGAACGCUGGCGGUAGGCCUAACACAUGCCAGUCGAACGGCAGCACAGUAAGAGCUUGCUCUUACGGGUGGCGAGUGGCGGACGGGUGAGGAAUACAUCGGAAUCUACUUUUUCGUGGGGGAUAACGUAGGGAAACUUACGCUAAUACCGCAUACGACCUACGGGUGAAAGCAGGGGAUCUUCGGACCUUGCGCAAUUGAAUGAGCCGAUGUCGGAUUAGCUAGUUGGCGGGGUAAAGGCCCACCAAGGCGACGAUCCGUAGCUGGUCUGAGAGGAUGAUCAGCCACACUGGAACUGAGAUACGGUCCAGACUCCUACGGGAGGCAGCAGUGGGGAAUAUUGGACAAUGGGCGCAAGCCUGAUCCAGCCAUACCGCGUGGGUGAAGAAGGCCUUCGGGUUGUAAAGCCCUUUUGUUGGGAAAGAAAAGCAGCAGGUUAAUACCCCGCUGUUCUGACGGUACCCAAAGAAUAAGCACCGGCUAACUUCGUG
This 492-nucleotide ribosomal RNA is filed under the name uncultured bacterium. Its description in RNAcentral is "partial 16S ribosomal RNA". It matches the Rfam family "Bacterial small subunit ribosomal RNA", at positions 29 to 507 of the family's 1533-position model. The record is from RNAcentral.